Engraulis encrasicolus (European anchovy) is the source of this 1191-nucleotide long non-coding RNA. RefSeq lists it as uncharacterized. NCBI's taxonomy places the organism in Eukaryota, Metazoa, Chordata, Actinopteri, Clupeiformes, Engraulidae. The record is from RefSeq and is a predicted model, not a curated record. The transcript is spliced from 3 exons.
CAAAGGUUUUGAAUCAGUUAGGCCUAUAGCUAGCCGUAGUCACUUGGACUCUGAAAUUCUCUGCCCUAUACUUCGACGCAGCAACAGAGACAUGAAGCACCAAGUUUUUUUGAUUCCUUGCAUCCUUCUCUUGGCACUUUGUACUACCGUGUGUGGUCAACAUGGCUUUUUCCCUGAGAAGUGUUGUUUCCGAUAUUACAACAAACCCAUUCCUCGUAAAAGUGUUGACCGCAUUUUGGCGACGUCUCCUGAAUGUGUCAAGCCAGGUUUCCUGGUUAUAACAAAGAAACAAGGAGCGUCUCUCUGUGUCAACCCAAGGAGCCCAGCUGUUGACAAACUGCUGCGUGAGUUCUACCUGCAGUAGACUUUCAGCUGGUGAAAUGUGCUGACCCAAAACUAUCCACCUUACUAAUCACCUUCCAUUCUGCUUCUGUGAAAACCUUUAUACUCCAGAAGAGAUUGGCUAUUUCCUCCCUGCAAUGUUCUUGUUAAUGCACUCUCCCCUUUGCCUUUCUCUUUGGUUGUUACUUUUCCCCUUCUAUUUUUCUUCUUUCUUAAAUAUCAGUUUUGUAAUCACAAAUUAGGUAAAGGUAAACUUGGCACAUUGUUUGAUAAUAUUUUGAUUUAGAUGUUUUAUAGUCACAGGGAUUCAUGACUUUCUUUACCAGCUUGGUGAUCAUUACUGACUGUGUUUUGUAUCUUGCACUGGUUAGUCUGGUCUGUGGGUGUUAGCGGCAUCCCCACAGACCUCAUUUCAGCACAAAAUCAGCCACAUAAUUGAUGCAUCAUAGACCAACACAGUAGCCUGCAAUACACAGCUUUGGCAUGCACAUAGGUAUUUAGUAGACCAAGUCUGGCUAGUGGCAAGUGCACUGCGUCUACUAAUUAACACACGAAUGUACUGUGUUCUAUGUAGGCUACUGCAACAUAAGCACCAUGGCCGUAACUACCAUUGAGGACACAGAGGUCAUGUCCUCUGUAUUUUUUUUCUUAUCUCAUCAUGUCUUGUCUACAGACAUGCACAAUUUACCUUUAAAUUAACCAUGAAUACACGGUUUGUCUACUAACAUUUGUGAAGCUUUUCUAUCAUUACCAACUGCACUGUAUUUUACUCGGUAUGACCUCUGUCAAACAAAGUUAAUAUAUACUGUAACUGUUUAAACUGUCAUGUCUUACCAUGAGUGAAAUAGA